GCGGAAGUGGCUGGACGUCAUGAGGAACACAUCAGCGGAAGAAGACAAAAGCAGCUGGUCUUGGAGAAUCCGCCAGGGGAAGAGCACACUGGCAGGCACCGCAGGCCAUCGAUCGUCAGAAAGACACGGAGUUUGGCCAGAAUUAUCAGAGAAGAGUUUGGCCAGAGGGGUCAGAGAAGACUCCAGCGGAAAACCAUCUCCCCUGUGACUCCAGAAUCUUCUGAGAGCUACUUCUACUUAAUAAAACCUUGCACUCAUUCUCCAAGCCCACAUGUGAUCCGAUUCAUCCAGUACACCAAGUGUCCAGGGACAUCUAGAUGAUAGAAGUUCCUUCAGAUGGGUCCCUGGUGUGAGGGUGUCCUGUAUCAGACUGCCUAUUGAAGUUCAACCUGUGGUUCAAGACAGGAUCUCAUUCAGAAUACUACUUUCAUUCAGGCUGGAGUGCAGUGGCAUGAUCUUAGCUCUCUGCAACUUCCGCCUCCUGGGCUCAAGCGAUUCUCCUGUCUCAGGCUCCGGAGUAGCUGGGACUACAGGCAUGCGCCACAACACCAGGUAAUUUUUGUAUUUUUAGUAGAGACGGGGUUUUACCAUGUUGGCCAGACUGGUCUCGAACUCCGGACCUCAAGUGAUCCACCUGCCUCGGCCUCCCAAAGUGCUGGGAUUAUAGGCAUGAGCCACCAUGCCAGGCCGAUCUUGACAGUUUUAGUGAGUAUUGGUCAGACAUUUUGUGGAGUAUCUCUGUAUUGGAAUCUAGUUCAUGUUUUUUUCAUAAUAGAUAGGAUUUUAUAUUCUUGGGAGAAAAAACAUUGAUAUAUACUGUCCCAUUUUCAUCACCUCAGAGCACAAGCCAAGGCUAAUAACAUCUUCAUCUUAGAAGUGUUUCUUUCACUUGCCUUCUGUAUAUCACACUUGCUGAUUUUUUUUGUAUGACUCUAGUAAUACUUUAUCAGUUUUGUUAAAUCCAAUUUUCACCAAUUUCAUAAUUUUAGAGCAUCUUAUGGAUCAUUUUUUAAGCUUUUAUCUACACUUCUUCAGUGAUUUCUUCUGGUUUCACAAUUUCAAUUGCCAUCUGCAUACUGAUGACAAGUAAAUUUAUAUCUCUGAUUCAGAUUUGUCCACUAAACUUGAUAACACUAUAUAUAACUGCAUACUUGAUAUCUUUACUUGGAACAUCUCAAAGUUGAAAUGCUCAAAAUAGAACUGCUUAUUAUUCUAGUAGAACCUGUUUCACCCACACACAGUCUUCCUUAUCAUUGUACUUGAUCAUUCUAGCCCAUCCGGGGAAAAAACACACACAAUCAAUAAAAAAAACUUGAUUUAUCCUUGAAAUAUUUUAUUUGAAUCCCACGUCUGAAACAUCAGCAAAAAUGGUUUUAAUUACUCAAUUUUUUCCAAAACAUAGAUAGAACCUGAAAAUUUCCCACUAUCACACACACUCCCACUAUUCUCCAAGGCACCAUUAGCUCUCACCCAGGUAAGAGUGAUAGCCUCCUUUCUCAGCCAGGUUACAGUGACAGCCUCCUGCUGUCAUUAUUGCCUUCCAUAGUCUCACUGAAACACAGCAGCCAAAGUGAUUCUUUGAACGUGUCAAUGAGAUCGAGUCACUGCUCUGCUAAAUACUCUCCAGUGGCUCCUCAUCUGAUUCAGAGGAAAGCCAGUGGUUUUCAAUGGCCUAAUAUUUUCUGCACAUUCCAAGUUCCAGUCAAAACUCUGAGCUCAUCCACCACACUGUCACGACACACUACUUCCAGUUACUCAAAUACGCCAGUGUGCUCAUGUCUCAGGGUAUUACUACUGUUCCCUCUUUUUGAAACACUGUGCCCAAGUGUCAUUGUCUCAAUUCCUAUCCUGGUUUCUUAAACUUAAGAGGAAAAAAAUAAGGAAACUCCCUUAUGUCCUCCUCUGACUAGUGAUCAUAUUUUAGUUUCCCCGGCCUGUCUCUUCUGCUAAUAUUCCAUUUUCUGAACUUACUUAUGUUUACCCUCUUUAUCUUCCUAUUAAUAGAUAAUGAGUUUAUGAGAUCAUGAGUCUCUCAGUUCUUACAGCUACUAUAAUACACUAUAUAGUUUUUGAUACACUGUGGGGACUUUAUAAAGGUUUUGUGAAUUAACUAGUUAAUGAAAGACAAAAAAAAUAAAUAGCCUGGACCCCUGCAAGCUUUGACAGCAGCAAGAAAUCAGCAUCGUCUUCAGAUUUUAAGUAUUUUAGUGUCAACUAUUUAAAUCAGCUAAAUAAUACAGUAAUAGAAUCUAUUUUGUUUCUAGUUAGAGUCAUGACUGAAAGCACUGCUAUUCCCUAAAGGGGAAAUUCCCUCAUUUGCAGAAAUAACAAAAGACUAAAAAA
This 2343-nucleotide long non-coding RNA is filed under the name Homo sapiens (human). RNAcentral's name for it is "uncharacterized LOC105374556 (LOC105374556)". Lineage: Eukaryota; Metazoa; Chordata; Mammalia; Primates; Hominidae. The record is from RNAcentral.